Molecule: transfer RNA, 82 nt
Filed under: Pelodiscus sinensis (Chinese soft-shelled turtle)
Lineage: Eukaryota; Metazoa; Chordata; Testudines; Trionychidae
Rfam family: tRNA
About the family: Transfer RNA (tRNA) molecules are approximately 80 nucleotides in length.
Source: Rfam by way of RNAcentral
GUAGUUGUGGUGGAGUGGUUAAGGCAAUGGGCUAGAAAUCCAUUGUGGUCUCCCUUUGCAGGUUUGAAUUCUGCCAUCUACC